ACCCCGGCGCGGAAUGCGUCAAGGAAACAUGAAGAAACGAGCUUCUGCUGCGGCCCCAGRUUUGGUGCUUGCCGCGGCAGAUGUGUUGUGUUUCGUUUAAGUCUAACAACGACUCUCGGCAACGGAUAUCUCGGCUCUCGCAUCGAUGAAGAACGUAGCGAAAUGCGAUACUUGGUGUGAAUUGCAGAAUCCCGUGAACCAUCGAGUCUUUGAACGCAAGUUGCGCCCGAAGCCAUCCGGCCAAGGGCACGUCUGCCUGGGCGUCACACACCGUUGCCCCCCUAAAUCCCUCUGACACUAUCCAAUACGGUGCAUAGGGAMMACGAGUGGCGGAUAAUGGCCUCCCGUGGGCCACGGCUCGCGGUUGGUCUAAAUUUGAGUCCUCGGUCACGGUUUCUGUGGCGAUAGGUGGUUGUCGAUCAUUCGGUGCCCCGCCACGUGCUCCGGACAAAAGCAUCGAGAGACUCGACAAACUUGACCCCAAUGCGCCCCACGCGGGUGCUUCCAACGCGACCCCAGGUCAGGCGGGGCUACCCGCUGAGUUUA
This 546-nucleotide ribosomal RNA is filed under the name Artocarpus styracifolius. RNAcentral's name for it is "eukaryotic LSU rRNA". The record is from RNAcentral. Lineage: Eukaryota; Viridiplantae; Streptophyta; Magnoliopsida; Rosales; Moraceae.